AAAAGCUCAACUUUGAAAUCUGGCAGCUUCGCUGUCCGAGUUGUAGUCUCGAGAAGUGUUUUCCGCGCUGGACCAUGUAUGAGUCUGUUGGAAUACAGCGUCAUAGAGGGUGAGAACCCCGUUCAUGACAUGCCUUCCAGUGCUUUGUGAUACACUUUCGAUGAGUCGAGUUGUUUGGGAAUGCAGCUCAAAAUGGGUGGUAAAUUCCAUCUAAAGCUAAAUAUUGGGGAGAGACCGAUAGCAAACAAGUACCGUGAGGGAAAGAUGAAAAGCACUUUGGAAAGAGAGUUAACAGUACGUGAAAUUGUCGAAAGGGAAACGCUUGAAGUCAGACGUGCGUAGUGCCUUCGGGUGCUGUUGCAGGCCAGCAUCAGUUUUUCGAGCCGGAUAAAGGUGGGAGGAAGGUAGCAGUCUCGGCUGUGUUAUAGCCUCCCACUGAAUACGGAUUGUGAGACUGAGGAAUGCGAUUCUAGGAUGCUGGUGAAAUGGCUUUAAACGACCCGUC
RNAcentral lists this ribosomal RNA (505 nucleotides) under Sakaguchia oryzae. Its description in RNAcentral is "eukaryotic LSU rRNA". It matches the Rfam family "Eukaryotic large subunit ribosomal RNA", at positions 103 to 653 of the family's 3401-position model. Lineage: Eukaryota; Fungi; Basidiomycota; Cystobasidiomycetes; Sakaguchiales; Sakaguchiaceae. The record is from RNAcentral.